Molecule: transfer RNA, 75 nt
Filed under: Actinoplanes nipponensis
Lineage: Bacteria; Bacillati; Actinomycetota; Actinomycetes; Micromonosporales; Micromonosporaceae
Description: tRNA-Lys
Rfam family: tRNA
About the family: Transfer RNA (tRNA) molecules are approximately 80 nucleotides in length.
Source: RNAcentral
GUGCCGCUAGCUCAACAGGCAGAGCAUCCGUCUCUUAAACGGAGGGUUCGGGGUUCGAUUCCCCGGCGGCGCACC